UGCAGUCGACGAACUCUGGUAUUGAUUGGUGCUUGCAUCAUGAUUUACAUUUGAGUGAGUGGCGAACUGGUGAGUAACACGUGGGAAACCUGCCCAGAAGCGGGGGAUAACACCUGGAAACAGAUGCUAAUACCGCAUAACAACUUGGACCGCAUGGUCCGAGCUUGAAAGAUGGCUUCGGCUAUCACUUUUGGAUGGUCCCGCGGCGUAUUAGCUAGAUGGUGGGGUAACGGCUCACCAUGGCAAUGAUACGUAGCCGACCUGAGAGGGUAAUCGGCCACAUUGGGACUGAGACACGGCCCAAACUCCUACGGGAGGCAGCAGUAGGGAAUCUUCCACAAUGGACGAAAGUCUGAUGGAGCAACGCCGCGUGAGUGAAGAAGGGUUUCGGCUCGUAAAACUCUGUUGUUAAAGAAGAACAUAUCUGAGAGUAACUGUUCAGGUAUUGACGGUAUUUAACCAGAAAGCCACGGCUAACUACGUGCCAGCAGCCGCGGUAAUACGUAGGUGGCAAGCGUUGUCCGGAUUUAUUGGGCGUAAAGCGAGCGCAGGCGGUUUUUUAAGUCUGAUGUGAAAGCCUUCGGCUCAACCGAAGAAGUGCAUCGGAAACUGGGAAACUUGAGUGCAGAAGAGGACAGUGGAACUCCAUGUGUAGCGGUGAAAUGCGUAGAUAUAUGGAAGAACACCAGUGGCGAAGGCGGCUGUCUGGUCUGUAACUGACGCUGAGGCUCGAAAGUAUGGGUAGCAAACAGGAUUAGAUACCCUGGUAGUCCAUACCGUAAACGAUGAAUGCUAAGUGUUGGAGGGUUUCCGCCCUUCAGUGCUGCAGCUAACGCAUUAAGCAUUCCGCCUGGGGAGUACGGCCGCAAGGCUGAAACUCAAAGGAAUUGACGGGGGCCCGCACAAGCGGUGGAGCAUGUGGUUUAAUUCGAAGCUACGCGAAGAACCUUACCAGGUCUUGACAUACUAUGCAAAUCUAAGAGAUUAGACGUUCCCUUCGGGGACAUGGAUACAGGUGGUGCAUGGUUGUCGUCAGCUCGUGUCGUGAGAUGUUGGGUUAAGUCCCGCAACGAGCGCAACCCUUAUUAUCAGUUGCCAGCAUUAAGUUGGGCACUCUGGUGAGACUGCCGGUGACAAACCGGAGGAAGGUGGGGAUGACGUCAAAUCAUCAUGCCCCUUAUGACCUGGGCUACACACGUGCUACAAUGGAUGGUACAACGAGUUGCGAACUCGCGAGAGUAAGCUAAUCUCUUAAAGCCAUUCUCAGUUCGGAUUGUAGGCUGCAACUCGCCUACAUGAAGUCGGAAUCGCUAGUAAUCGCGGAUCAGCAUGCCGCGGUGAAUACGUUCCCGGGCCUUGUACACACCGCCCGUCACACCAUGAGAGUUUGUAACACCCAAAGUCGGUGGGGUAACC
Molecule: ribosomal RNA, 1416 nt
Filed under: Lactiplantibacillus plantarum
Lineage: Bacteria; Bacillati; Bacillota; Bacilli; Lactobacillales; Lactobacillaceae
Description: bacterial SSU rRNA
Rfam family: Bacterial small subunit ribosomal RNA
Source: RNAcentral